RNAcentral lists this ribosomal RNA (253 nucleotides) under uncultured bacterium. RNAcentral's name for it is "partial 16S ribosomal RNA". It matches the Rfam family "Bacterial small subunit ribosomal RNA", at positions 524 to 776 of the family's 1533-position model. The record is from RNAcentral.
GACGUAGGGCGCGAGCGUUGUCCGGAUUUAUUGGGCGUAAAGAGCUCGUAGGCGGUUUGUCGCGUCUGCUGUGAAAAUCCAGGGCUUAACCCUGGACCUGCAGUGGGUACGGGCAGACUGGAGUGCGGUAGGGGAGAUCGGAAUUCCCGGUGUAGCGGUGAAAUGCGCAGAUAUCAGGAGGAACACCGGUGGCGAAGGCGGAUCUCUGGGCCGUAACUGACGCUGAGGAGCGAAAGCAUGGGGAGCGAACAGG